Molecule: long non-coding RNA, 483 nt
Filed under: Astyanax mexicanus (Mexican tetra)
Lineage: Eukaryota; Metazoa; Chordata; Actinopteri; Characiformes; Acestrorhamphidae
Description: lncRNA (ENSAMXG00005001016.1)
Source: RNAcentral
CUCACAGAAAGCAUUGUGGACUGCAUUUCCCAUAAUCCACCGUACUCCAGUGAAUUUCAAUGCUGCCUCAACUGCGCCACGCCCACGUCCUCCUCCACAGGUAAACGGAGCGCGCGCGAGGAGCAGAGUAAUCUGGAGAAGCUGAGCGCGAGGACGGAGCAUCAGCUGUAAGAGGUAACGGACUGUACAGGGAGAAGCUGUGACAGUGUAGGGAAUUUGCGGAGUUUGAUCUCACAGAGUCAUCUCAGAGUGACAGACCUGCAGAGAGAGACUGAACAGGAGAUUAUACGUGUGAGACAACAGCUGAGAUCAGUACGGCUACAGCAGAAAAUCCUGACCUGUGAACUACCAAGUCAAGAUAUUCUGCAGACUGAGGCUGAACACUUACCACAAAGAGCCGUAAACACAGAGACCUGUAACGUAAGUAGCCUAGACUCACAGUGACCAAUUACAACCAGUGUUAGUGUACACCCACUGGCCACU